CCUACGGGAGGCAGCAGUGGGAAAUAUUGUACAAUGGGCGCAAGCCUGAUCCAGCAAUCCCGGGUGUGUGAAGAAGGCAUUCAGGUUGUAAAGCACUUUUAUCGGGAGCGAAAUACCAUCGGUUAAUACCCGGUGGGGCUGACGGUACCCGAGGAAUAAGCACCGGCUAACUUCGUGCCAGCAGCCGCGGUAAUACGAAGGGUGCAAGCGUUAAUCGGAAUUACUGGGCGUAAAGGGUGCGUAGGCGGUUUGUUAAGUCUGUUGUGAAAUCCCCGGGCUCAACCUGGGAAUGGCAAUGGAUACUGGCAAGCUAGAGUGUGUCAGAGGAUGGUGGAAUUUCCGGUGUAGCGGUGAAAUGCGUAGAGAUCGGAAGGAACAUCAGUGGCGAAGGCGGCCAUCUGGGACAACACUGACGCUGAAGCACGAAAGCGUGGGGAGCAAACAGGAUUAGAUACCCUGGUAGUCCACGCCCUAAACGAUGCGAACUGGAUGUUGGUCUCACCUCGGAGAUCAGGUGGAAGCUAGCGCGUAAGUCACCGCC
RNAcentral lists this ribosomal RNA (541 nucleotides) under uncultured Gammaproteobacteria bacterium. RNAcentral's name for it is "bacterial SSU rRNA". It matches the Rfam family "Bacterial small subunit ribosomal RNA", at positions 338 to 873 of the family's 1533-position model. The record is from RNAcentral. Lineage: Bacteria; Pseudomonadati; Pseudomonadota; Gammaproteobacteria.